UGCGGCUGCUCACGAUACCACAAAAUCUAAAACGCGCGCACAAUGUGAUGUUACUUGACACGCACGAAGUACUUCGAUAUGCCAGUCUACGCAAGAUAAUUCUAUCAUAUAUCGUCAGCUGAUCUUUAAUGAGGGCAUCGUGGAUGUACUACAAUAAUGUAGUAGUUAUAGAGUAGCUAAAAAGUAGAAAGAUGUUGUCUAUACACGAAUAUAGAGGAAUAUAUAAACAAAUGUCGCGACAGUGCAUGGCGAUUUAUAAAAGAGAAAUAGAUUUCAAUAUACGUUUAUUGUGCGAAUACAACUGUGAGCUUACUUCUUAAGCGCUAUGAAGCAAUAAUUAUUUUAUAGUGUAUAGUCUUGGCCAAAAAUGUGGUCAUCCUCAAAGAGUCAUGAAAUCUAAAAGAUGCACUGUGAUGUUGCUUGAUACGUGAAAAUACUUCGAUAAUGCGCCAAAAUAUUUGCCCAAUAUUGAUAUAUCAGUCUGCGCAGCAUUUAGUGAUCCUCUUUUCAAAUAUCGUUACCCGACUCUUAACUAACGAAGCAGUCGCACGCAGACCAUGCACUUGUUGCGCCGUUACCAACAUUUGUAUUAUAUGUGAGUAAUUGAUUUUACCAAUGUACGUCAUCGAACUCACAUUGACAGCCUAAAGCAAAUACAUCCAACAAAAUACGAGAAUGGAGAUAAGUAUUACACAUGUUUUUUUUUAUAAAAAUGUUAUAAUUCUAUCAUUCAGAGCUAGUUAUAAAUAGUUACAUAAAUUAUGUGUUAUAAUUAAUUGCAAAUUUUGGCUCUUGUUGAUAAGAAAACUUUUAUUUUUCUAAGGAAACAAAAAAAUAUAUCUUAUAUAACUAAUAUUAUUUAUAUUCCAAUUUAUUUAAUAGUU
Solenopsis invicta (red fire ant) is the source of this 884-nucleotide long non-coding RNA. RefSeq lists it as uncharacterized. The transcript is spliced from 3 exons. The record is from RefSeq and is a predicted model, not a curated record. Lineage: Eukaryota; Metazoa; Arthropoda; Insecta; Hymenoptera; Formicidae.